UCAACCUAAUUUCUGUUUCAG
RNAcentral lists this non-coding RNA (21 nucleotides) under Caenorhabditis elegans. The record is from RNAcentral. Lineage: Eukaryota; Metazoa; Nematoda; Chromadorea; Rhabditida; Rhabditidae.